Octopus bimaculoides (California two-spot octopus) is the source of this 107-nucleotide non-coding RNA. NCBI's taxonomy places the organism in Eukaryota, Metazoa, Mollusca, Cephalopoda, Octopoda, Octopodidae. The record is from Rfam.
GUACUAGCUACGGCAGAACAUAUUCUAAAAUUUGAGCGAUACAGAGAAGAUUAGCAUGUCCCCUGCGUAAGGAUGACAUGCAAAUUCGUGAAGCAUUCCAUAUCUUU